AACAAACGCUGGCGGCGUGCCUAAUACAUGCAAGUCGAACGGGGAAAGCUUUCGGGUGAGUACUAGUGGCGCACGGGUGAGGAACGCGUGGAUAAUCUGCCUUAGAGUGGGGGAUAACUAGUCGAAAGAUUAGCUAAUACCGCAUAAGACCACAAGAACUGCGGUUCAAGGGGUCAAAGGUUUUUCGCUCUAAGAUGAGUCCGCGUAAGAUUAGCUAGUUGGUGAGGUAACGGCUCACCAAGGCGACGAUCUUUAACUGGUCUGAGAGGAUGAUCAGUCACACUGGAACUGAGACCCGGUCCAGACUCCUACGGGAGGCAGCAGUAGGGAAUAUUGCACAGUGGAGGAAACUCUGAUGCAGCGACGCCGCGUGAGUGAUGAAGGCCUUCGGGUCGUAAAGCUCUGUCGCAGGGGAAUAACACAAUGAAGGUACCCUGUAAGAAAGGAUCGGCUAACUUCGUGCCAGCAGCCGCCGUAA
This 478-nucleotide ribosomal RNA is filed under the name uncultured bacterium. Its description in RNAcentral is "partial 16S ribosomal RNA". It matches the Rfam family "Bacterial small subunit ribosomal RNA", at positions 29 to 523 of the family's 1533-position model. The record is from RNAcentral.